GGCGAAGGCGACUCUCUGGUCUGUAACUGACGCUGAGGCGCGAAAGCGUGGGGAGCGAACAGGAUUAGAUACCCUGGUAGUCCACGCCGUAAACGAUGAGUGCUAAGUGUUAGAGGGUUUCCGCCCUUUAGUGCUGCAGCAAACGCAUUAAGCACUCCGCCUGGGGGAGUACGGUCGCAAGACUGAAACUCAAAGGAAUUGACGGGGGCCCGCACAAGCGGUGGACGCAUGUGGUUUAAUUCGAAGCAACGCGAAGAACCUUACCAGGUCUUGACAUCCUCUGACAACCCUAGAGAUAGGGCUUCCCCUUCGGGGGCAGAGUGACAGGUGGUGCAUGGUUGUCGUCAGCUCGUGUCGUGAGAUGUUGGGUUAAGUCCCGCAACGAGCGCAACCCUUGAUCUUAGUUGCCAGCAUUCAGUUGGGCACUCUAAGGUGACUGCCGGUGACAAACCGGAGGAAGGUGGGGAUGACGUCAAAUCAUCAUGCCCCUUAUGACCUGGGCUACACACGUGCUACAAUGGGCAGAACAAAGGGCAGCGAAGCCGCGAGGCUAAGCCAAUCCCACAAAUCUGUUCUCAGUUCGGAUCGCAGUCUGCAACUCGACUGCGUGAAGCUGGAAUCGCUAGUAAUCGCGGAUCAGCAUGCCGCGGUGAAUACGUUCCCGGGCCUUGUACACACCGCCCGUCACACCACGAGAGUUUGUAACACCCGAAGUCGGUGAGGUAACCUUUUGGAGCCAGCCGCCGAAGGUMGGGACAGAUGAUUGGG
This 768-nucleotide ribosomal RNA is filed under the name Bacillus licheniformis. RNAcentral's name for it is "bacterial SSU rRNA". It matches the Rfam family "Bacterial small subunit ribosomal RNA", at positions 714 to 1479 of the family's 1533-position model. Lineage: Bacteria; Bacillati; Bacillota; Bacilli; Caryophanales; Bacillaceae. The record is from RNAcentral.